GAUGAACGCUGGCGGCGUGCUUAACACAUGCAAGUCGAGCGAAAGGACGAGAAGUUUGCUUGUCUGACGUUAGCGGCGGACGGGAGAGUAACACGGGGAUAACCCACCUAUAAUCCUGGGAUAACUUCGGGAAACCGGAGCUAACCCCGGAUAAUAUCUCGAACCGCAUGGUUCAAAAAUGAAAGACGGUCUUGCUGUCACUUAUAGAUGUCUGCGUGCUGCAUUAGCUAGUUGGUAAGGUAACGGCGUACCAAGGCAACGAUGCGUAGCCGACCUGGGAGAGUGGUCGGCCGCAUGAGAGCUGAGACGGGCACAAGGGUCCUGAGGGACGCAGCAGAAGGGAAUGUUACGCAGUGGUCGAGAGCCUGACGGAACAACGCCACGUGAGUGAUGGAGGUCUUCGGUGCGUGAAGCUCUGUUAUUAGGGAUAAACAUAUGUGUAAGUAGCUGUACACAUCUUGACGGUACCUGAUGAGAAAGCCACGGCUAACUACGUG
This 497-nucleotide ribosomal RNA is filed under the name uncultured bacterium. RNAcentral's name for it is "partial 16S ribosomal RNA". It matches the Rfam family "Bacterial small subunit ribosomal RNA", at positions 28 to 507 of the family's 1533-position model. The record is from RNAcentral.